GACGAACGCUGGCGGCGUGCCUAAUACAUGCAAGUAGAACGCACAGUUUAUACCGUAGCUUGCUACACCAUAGACUGUGAGUUGCGAACGGGUGAGUAACGCGUAGGUAACCUGCCUGGUAGCGGGGGAUAACUAUUGGAAACGAUAGCUAAUACCGCAUAAUAUUAAUUAUUGCAUGAUAAUUAAUUGAAAGGUGCAAUUGCACCACUACCAGAUGGACCUGCGUUGUAUUAGCUAGUAGGUGAGGUAACGGCUCACCUAGGCGACGAUACAUAGCCGACCUGAGAGGGUGAUCGGCCACACUGGGAAUGAGACACGGCCCAGACUCCUACGGGAGGCAGCAGUAGGGAAUCUUCGGCAAUAGACGAAAGUCUGACCGAGCAACGCCGCGGGAGUGAAGAAGGUUGUCGGAUCGUAAAGCUCUGUUGUAAGAGAAGAACGGGUGUGAGAGUGGAAAGUUCACACUGUGACGGUAUCUUACCAGAAAGGGACGGCUAACUACGUG
Molecule: ribosomal RNA, 505 nt
Filed under: uncultured bacterium
Lineage: Bacteria
Description: partial 16S ribosomal RNA
Rfam family: Bacterial small subunit ribosomal RNA
Source: RNAcentral